UCAAAACAAAGGAUAAAGGAUAUGAGGAGGACGGAUUAAAUGGAGCACUAGAUCCGACUGAUUGAAGAGAAGCCUGACCUCGAGACGAGACUAGAUUUGAUUAUCAUGUUUAUAGCUUUAGUCCUUCAUGCCUUAG
Molecule: long non-coding RNA, 136 nt
Organism: Juglans microcarpa x Juglans regia
Lineage: Eukaryota; Viridiplantae; Streptophyta; Magnoliopsida; Fagales; Juglandaceae
Exons: 3
Source: RefSeq, a predicted model, not a curated record